GAUGAAGAACGUAGCGAAAUGCGAUAAGUAAUGUGAAUUGUAGAAUUCAGUGAAUCAUCGAAUCUUUGAACGCACAUUGCGCCCCUUGGUAUUCCGAUGGGCAUGCCUGUUCGAGCGUCAUUAUAACCCCUCAAGCUCAGCUUGGUGUUGGGGCCUGCUGCACUGGCAGCCCUUAAAAUCAGUGGCGGCGCCAUCUGGCUCUAAGCGUAGUAAUUCUUCUCGCUAUGGAGUCCUGGUGGAUGCUUGCCAUCAACCCCCAAUUUUUCUAUGGUUGACCUCGGAUCAGGUAGGGAUACCCGCUGAACUUAAGCAUAUCAAUAAGCGGAGGA
This 329-nucleotide unclassified non-coding RNA is filed under the name soil metagenome. RNAcentral's name for it is "partial contains 5.8S ribosomal RNA, internal transcribed spacer 2, and large subunit ribosomal RNA". The stretch from base 1 to 120 matches the Rfam family "5.8S ribosomal RNA", at positions 35 to 154 of the family's 154-position model. The record is from RNAcentral.